RNAcentral lists this ribosomal RNA (509 nucleotides) under uncultured bacterium. RNAcentral describes it as "partial 16S ribosomal RNA". It matches the Rfam family "Bacterial small subunit ribosomal RNA", at positions 30 to 523 of the family's 1533-position model. The record is from RNAcentral.
AUUGAACGCUGGCGGCAGGCUUAACACAUGCAAGUCGAGCGGGGGAAGGUAGCUUGCUACCGGACCUAGCGGCGGACGGGUGAGUAACACGUAAGGAAUCUACCUAUAAGCGGGGGAUAACAUUCGGAAACGGGUGCUAAUACCGCAUAAUAUCUUCUUCCGCAUGGAAGAAGAUUGAAAGACGGCUCUGCUGUCACUUAUAGAUGACCUUGCGGUGCAUUAGUUAGUUGGUGGGGUAAUGGCCUACCAAGACGAUGAUGCAUAGCCGACCUGAGAGGGUGAUCGGCCACAUUGGGACUGAGACACGGCCCAAACUCCUACGGGAGGCAGCAGCAGGGAAUCUUCCGCAAUGGGCGAAAGCCUGACGGAGCAAUGCCGCGUGAGUGAAGAAGGCCUUCGGGUCGUAAAACUCUGUUAUAAGAGAAGAACAAAUUGUAGAGUAACUGCUACAGUCUUGACGGUAUCUUAUCAGAAAGCCACGGCUAACUACGUGCCAGCCGCCGCAGUAA